UACGAAGGGUGCAAACGUUGCUCGGAAUUAUUGGGCGUAAAGCGCACGUAGGCGGCUCUGUAAGUUGGAUGUGAAAUCCCUCGGCUCAACCAAGGAAGUGCAUCCAAAACUGUAGAGCUUGAGUACUAAAGAGGAUCGCGGAAUUCCCGGUGUAGAGGUGAAAUUCGUAGAUAUCGGGAGGAACACCAGUGGCGAAGGCGGCGAUCUGGGUAGAUACUGACGCUGAGGUGCGAAAGCGUGGGGAGCAAACAGG
RNAcentral lists this ribosomal RNA (253 nucleotides) under uncultured bacterium. RNAcentral's name for it is "partial 16S ribosomal RNA". It matches the Rfam family "Bacterial small subunit ribosomal RNA", at positions 524 to 776 of the family's 1533-position model. The record is from RNAcentral.